Artibeus jamaicensis (Jamaican fruit-eating bat) is the source of this 126-nucleotide small nuclear RNA. NCBI's taxonomy places the organism in Eukaryota, Metazoa, Chordata, Mammalia, Chiroptera, Phyllostomidae. The record is from RefSeq and is a predicted model, not a curated record.
GUGUCGUAUAAAGGAGAGAAGCUUAGCUACCCUUUUGUCAAGGAUGGAAAAGGCCCUUGGGCCCGGAAAGUGCACAGGUGGCUAAGGCGUGGUCACCCACCUGGUGGCAUCUAAGCAUGGGUGUGA